RNAcentral lists this ribosomal RNA (552 nucleotides) under Lactiplantibacillus plantarum. RNAcentral's name for it is "bacterial SSU rRNA". It matches the Rfam family "Bacterial small subunit ribosomal RNA", at positions 36 to 552 of the family's 1533-position model. Lineage: Bacteria; Bacillati; Bacillota; Bacilli; Lactobacillales; Lactobacillaceae. The record is from RNAcentral.
CUGGCGGCGUGCCUAAUACAUGCAAGUCGAACGAACUCUGGUAUUGAUUGGUGCUUGCAUCAUGAUUUACAUUUGAGUGAGUGGCGAACUGGUGAGUAACACGUGGGAAACCUGCCCAGAAGCGGGGGAUAACACCUGGAAACAGAUGCUAAUACCGCAUAACAACUUGGACCGCAUGGUCCGAGCUUGAAAGAUGGCUUCGGCUAUCACUUUUGGAUGGUCCCGCGGCGUAUUAGCUAGAUGGUGGGGUAACGGCUCACCAUGGCAAUGAUACGUAGCCGACCUGAGAGGGUAAUCGGCCACAUUGGGACUGAGACACGGCCCAAACUCCUACGGGAGGCAGCAGUAGGGAAUCUUCCACAAUGGACGAAAGUCUGAUGGAGCAACGCCGCGUGAGUGAAGAAGGGUUUCGGCUCGUAAAACUCUGUUGUUAAAGAAGAACAUAUCUGAGAGUAACUGUUCAGGUAUUGACGGUAUUUAACCAGAAAGCCACGGCUAACUACGUGCCAGCAGCCGCGGUAAUACGUAGGUUGGCAAGCGUUGUCCGGAUUU